RNAcentral lists this ribosomal RNA (497 nucleotides) under uncultured bacterium. RNAcentral's name for it is "partial 16S ribosomal RNA". It matches the Rfam family "Bacterial small subunit ribosomal RNA", at positions 28 to 507 of the family's 1533-position model. The record is from RNAcentral.
GACGAACGCUGGCGGCGUGCCUAAUACAUGCAAGUUGAGCGCUGAAGGUUGGUACUUGUACCAACUGGAUGAGCAGCGAACGGGUGAGUAACGCGUGGGGAAUCUGCCUUUGAGCGGGGGACAACAUUUGGAAACGAAUGCUAAUACCGCAUAAAAACUUUAAACACAAGUUUUAAGUUUGAAAGAUGCAAUUGCAUCACUCAAAGAUGAUCCCGCGUUGUAUUAGCUAGUUGGUGAGGUAAAGGCUCACCAAGGCGAUGAUACAUAGCCGACCUGAGAGGGUGAUCGGCCAAAUUGGGACUGAGAGACGGCCAAAACUCCUACGGGAGGCAGCAGUAGGGAAUCUUCGGCAAUGGACGAAAGUCUGACCGAGCAACGCCGCGUGAGUGAAGAAGGUUUUCGGAUCGUAAAACUCUGUUGGUAGAGAAGAACGUUGGUGAGAGUGGAAAGCUCAUCAAGUGACGGUAACUACCCAGAAAGGGACGGCUAACUACGUG